UACCGAAAGGUAUGCUAAUACGGGAUAAUAUAUUUGAGAGGCAUCUCUUAAAUAUCAAAGGUGAGCCAGGACAGGAUGGACCCGCGUCUGAUUAGCUAGUUGGUAAGGUAACGGCUUACCAAGGCGACGAUCAGUAGCCGACCUGAGGGGGUGAUCGGCCACAUUGGAACUGAGACACGGUCCAAACUCCUACGGGAGGCAGCAGUGGGGAAUAU
Molecule: ribosomal RNA, 215 nt
Filed under: Clostridioides difficile
Lineage: Bacteria; Bacillati; Bacillota; Clostridia; Peptostreptococcales; Peptostreptococcaceae
Description: partial 16S ribosomal RNA
Rfam family: Bacterial small subunit ribosomal RNA
Source: RNAcentral